UGCCUGUGCGUUGAAACUGGGUGUGGUGCUAAGUAUAUCUUGUUUACCUUAUCUUUCUUUGGAAAAAUUUUCAAGUCUGGUUGGGUUUGUCACUGAGCAUCACGCCUGUUGCUUAGUACUACCAAAUUGUUCUUAUCUAGCAACAAAGACUGAAUAGGUGGAGUUUGCGGCUUGGC
Pteropus vampyrus (large flying fox) is the source of this 176-nucleotide non-coding RNA. NCBI's taxonomy places the organism in Eukaryota, Metazoa, Chordata, Mammalia, Chiroptera, Pteropodidae. The record is from Rfam.